CGGGACGUAGCGCAGCUCGGUAGCGCACUUGCUUCGGGAGCAAGGGGUCGCUGGUUCAAAUCCAGUCGUCCCGACCA
RNAcentral lists this transfer RNA (77 nucleotides) under bacterium. Its description in RNAcentral is "tRNA-Pro". It matches the Rfam family "tRNA". From Rfam's summary of the family: Transfer RNA (tRNA) molecules are approximately 80 nucleotides in length. Their secondary structure includes four short double-helical elements and three loops (D, anti-codon, and T loops). The record is from RNAcentral. RNAcentral also lists the same sequence under 4 other names.